RNAcentral lists this unclassified non-coding RNA (2322 nucleotides) under Polistes fuscatus (common paper wasp). RNAcentral's name for it is "recQ-mediated genome instability protein 1-like, transcript variant X6". The record is from RNAcentral. Lineage: Eukaryota; Metazoa; Arthropoda; Insecta; Hymenoptera; Vespidae.
UCUUGUGAAUAAAAUAAUUAAAAAUGAAUGAAGAUCUGAUGCAACGUGUUAAAAAUACUUUAAAAUCAGAAUCAUAUUUUAUGAAUGAUACUUGGUUAAGAGAUUGUAUAGAAUAUUUCAUUUCAGAAAAUAACACACUAGUGUACAAUGAAAUAUUAAAAUUUGUGAAAACGCAAUGGCAAUUAAGUGAUUUACGUGAAAUUAACAAUGAUAAUGGAUGUUUACCGAAGGAUCUUAGUAAAUGUUUAAAAAGAGUCUUACAUGGAUCUUACAUCCUUCAGGUGAACAAAAUGUACGAUAUAUCAACUUCAAAGUAUAAGCAAUUAGAGCGAAUACGUAAUGUUUCCAAUGUCAAUAUAGAAGCAACGGAAGAUGUCAAACCUCAAAUUUGGGAACCUAAAGCUAAGAGGAUGCUUCUAUUACAUCUAACAGAUGGUCUUCAAGAUGUUAUUGGUAUAGAAUACAAAACCAUUUCAUCCUUACAAGAUACAUUAAUACCCGGAUAUAAAAUAAUGAUCAUUGGACCGUUGAUAUGCAGAAGAGGUGUUAUGUUAUUAGAAGAAAGUAAAUUCAGAGAAAUUGGGGGAGAAGUAGAAAGUUUAUCUAUCAGCAAUGCAUUAGAAAAUGUUCUAGCUCGAGCUUUGGAUUGUCCAGAAAAUCCAGAUCCAUAUAAUGAUAAAGACAGACAGGAAAAUAAUAACAGACCAUCACCUGCUACAAAUGAUUUUUUUGAAGAUGAUUUUGAAGUUAAUUUGGAAGAAGUUACACAAAUUGAACAACAAAAUCUGGAAAUGGAUAAUAUACAAAGUACAAAUAACACAUCAAAUUCUGCAAAUACGCAGAAUAAUUUAUCUAAUCGACUGGACAUCAUGCAACCAACUUUUGUCCAUCCGAAAAAUCCUGUUAAUGAUAAUAAUGUACAUCAAAGUAAUAAUAUUAAUGAAGCUUUCGAUAUGGAUGACGAGUUGUUAGGAAUGAUCGAAGAAGAUCAAUUUAUUGCAUCUACUUCAUGUACGUCUACCUCGAGUACAUUUAAGAAUACUGGAAGCACGGAUAGAGGAAAGAACUUGGUAAAACCUUUUCGAGUAUUACCUAAAGAAGAUAAUGACUAUAACAUGGAAGAUAAUAUUGUAGUAGUGGAAGAUACAGAUAAUAGGAUAGAAAGCUUUAACAAAAAAGAAAAUAUUAAACAACAAAGUGAUAUAGAUUUUCCAGAAGAUGAUUUUAACUUUGAUGACUUAAAUAUGUUGGAAAUAGUGGAAAAGAAAGCUACGAUACCAAAAACUAAAGAAUCUGAUGUGAAAGGAAACUUUUUACCAAGUAAAUUAUUUUUGAAAAAUACUGAUUCUGUUAAAGGUAUAAAAUCUUGUGAAACAUUUAAAUUUAAGACGAAUAGUACUAAUACAAGCAAAGCAUCGUCUAGUAUGCAAGUUGAUCGUCAAAAAGAAAUUGGAAUUAAAAGACCUGCGCCAUUAAUAUCACCAUCGGUUAUUGGUUCGUCGAAAAAAAGUUGUAUUAAAGAAACAUCGAGUCAAGAGAAAGGUGUUAGAAAAAUUUCGGACUUUAUAAAAAGUAAGAAUUUCCAAGAAGAAAUACCAGCGAAAAUUUGUGACUUUAUUUGCGAUAUUAUCGAGGAAACGGUUAAAGAGAUAACAUUUAAAACUGUACGAGGACAAUUCAUCACAUUUGGUAAAUUAUCUAGGAAAAAUCUUUGUUGGCAAUUGGAAGGAACGAUAUCUGAUAAAACUGCAGCUUUAGAUGUUGCUGUUGCUUCUGAGAUUAUUGAAAGAUUUCUUGGGUUCAGUGUUAAAGAAUUUUCCCAAAAAAAGAAGCUCGCAAAAGUCAACUGUGAUAUAGAACAUGAAUUAAGAAUGGCUUGCCGUAAUGCGGAACAAAAAUUGAAAGAAUUGGAUGCAUUACUAGAAUUAGAAUUAAAUCCAAAUCAGAAAGCAAAAGUUGUGAAUAUUAGGCCAUUAACCGAUCAACAAAAGGUACACCGUGAGGAUGACACUUAUGUGGUGGUUGUUUGCAUGGUGGUAAGCGUCUCCAAAUGUUCAUUAAAUUUGGCCACCAAAUCCAAGCAGCUGUAACUAUACCGCUUCCCAAAGUAGCUACCAAUCGAAGAAUGAAGAACUGAACGUAAGGUUUGGAUGGUACUUUAGGUGAACUGGAUGGUUCUGGUGCUCUCAGCCAUUUUUCACGACCCCACCAUUCGUAAAAUGUUGUACUGAUUUCCACCGGUGAUUUAGACGAUUCUCUUUGUCUGAUCAAUGGAUUUGGAUGCUGUUGUUGGUGUUGUUGCUGUUGGAGCGCGCUCACUAC